AUGAGGGCUUUUGCGACCGCAGCUUGGGUGGUGUUGCUGCUCGCGGCGGCGGCGCUCGUCUCUGUCUCCUCGGCAUCCGCUUCGAUCUCGGCCUCCGUGGACCCAUCAGGUUGCAAUGCCACCCAGCUGGCCACCGCUAUUGUCAAGAACUGUGUGGAAGAGUUUGAGCCAACCAAUGCCGCUGCCUGCUGUUCCUCGGUUCUGCCCACAGUGGACAUGGCCGGCUGCCUCUGCUUGGUGGUCGAUGAGCCUCAGCUGGCGCUAUCGGGCACCACCUCCCAGGCCGUGUUCAGUCUUUACCUGAAGUGUGGAGGUAAGAGACGUUCCCAGGACAAGCCGUACGAGGCAUGCGAUGAUUUCUUUGCGACGUCUCCGCCAUCCCUGCCAGCGCCCGCCAGUCCGGCGCCUCCUGCAUCACCAAGGGACAUGUACUACCCUCCAACUCCCGUCAAUGAGGAUUCAAGUUACAAGAUCGAGUUGUCCACAGAUGUUGGCGUUUGGGUGACCGUGAUAGUCUACCUGAUUGUCAUGGGCUUCGCAGUUUACGAGCGUCUGACUCGUGGAGGAAAUGACAACGAGGGUGGGCAAGAGGUGAACAAUGACCAGGAUCCAGAGGGGCAAGGAAACCCUCGGCCGGACGGAGCUGCUUGA
Molecule: ribosomal RNA, 651 nt
Filed under: Triticum aestivum (bread wheat)
Lineage: Eukaryota; Viridiplantae; Streptophyta; Magnoliopsida; Poales; Poaceae
Description: partial small subunit ribosomal RNA
Source: RNAcentral